UACGGGAGGCAGCAGUGGGGAAUAUUGCACAAUGGGCGCAAGCCUGAUGCAGCCAUGCCGCGUGUAUGAAGAAGGCCUUCGGGUUGUAAAGUACUUUCAGUCGUGAGGAAGGUGUUAAGGUUAAUAACCUUAGCAAUUGACGUUAGCGACAGAAGAAGCACCGGCUAACUCCGUGCCAGCAGCCGCGGUAAUACGGAGGGUGCGAGCGUUAAUCGGAAUUACUGGGCGUAAAGGGCACGCAGGCGGUUAAUUAAGUUGGAUGUGAAAUCCCCGGGCUUAACCUGGGAAUGGCAUUCAAGACUGGUUAGCUAGAGUCUUGUAGAGGGGGUAGAAUUCCAUGUGUAGCGGUGAAAUGCGUAGAGAUGUGGAGGAAUACCGGUGGCGAAGGCGGCCCCUGGGACAAGACUGACGCUCAUGUGCGAAAGCGUGGGGAGCGAAACAGGAUUAGAUACC
Molecule: ribosomal RNA, 453 nt
Filed under: uncultured bacterium
Lineage: Bacteria
Description: bacterial SSU rRNA
Rfam family: Bacterial small subunit ribosomal RNA
Source: RNAcentral